Molecule: ribosomal RNA, 465 nt
Filed under: Vreelandella stevensii
Lineage: Bacteria; Pseudomonadati; Pseudomonadota; Gammaproteobacteria; Oceanospirillales; Halomonadaceae
Description: partial 16S ribosomal RNA
Rfam family: Bacterial small subunit ribosomal RNA
Source: RNAcentral
CCUACGGGAGGCUGCAGUGGGGAAUAUUGGACAAUGGGCGAAAGCCUGAUCCAGCCAUGCCGCGUGUGUGAAGAAGGCCUUCGGGUUGUAAAGCACUUUCAGUGGGGAAGAAAGCCUUGGGGCUAAUACCCUCGAGGAAGGACAUCACCCACAGAAGAAGCACCGGCUAACUCCGUGCCAGCAGCCGCGGUAAUACGGAGGGUGCGAGCGUUAAUCGGAAUUACUGGGCGUAAAGCGCGCGUAGGCGGUCUGAUAAGCCGGUUGUGAAAGCCCCGGGCUCAACCUGGGAACGGCAUCCGGAACUGUCAGGCUAGAGUGCAGGAGAGGAAGGUAGAAUUCCCGGUGUAGCGGUGAAAUGCGUAUAGAUCGGGAGGAAUACCAGUGGCGAAGGCGGCCUUCUGGACUGACACUGACGCUGAGGUGCGAAAGCGUGGGUAGCAAACAGGAUUAGAUACCCUAGUAGUC